CCUUGAAAUACCACCCUUUAAUGUUUGAUGUUCUAACGUGGACCCGUAAUCCGGGUUGCGGACAGUGUCUGGUGGGUAGUUUGACUGGGGCGGUCUCCUCCUAAAGAGUAACGGAGGAGCACGAAGGUUGGCUAAUCCUGGUCGGACAUCAGGAGGUUAGUGCAAUGGCAUAAGCCAGCUUGACUGCGAGCGUGACGGCGCGAGCAGGUGCGAAAGCAGGUCAUAGUGAUCCGGUGGUUCUGAAUGGAAGGGCCAUCGCUCAACGGAUAAAAGGUACUCCGGGGAUAACAGGCUGAUACCGCCCAAGAGUUCAUAUCGACGGCGGUGUUUGGCACCUCGAUGUCGGCUCAUCACAUCCUGGGGCUGAAGUAGGUCCCAAGGGUAUGGCUGUUCGCCAUUUAAAGUGGUACGCGAGCUGGGUUUAGAACGUCGUGAGACAGUUCGGUCCCUAUCUGCCGUGGGCGCUGGAGAACUGAGGGGGGCUGCUCCUAGUACGAGAGGACCGGAGUGGACGCAUCACUGGUGUUCGGGUUGUCAUGCCAAUGGCACUGCCCGGUAGCUAAAUGCGGAAGAGAUAAGUGCUGAAAGCAUCUAAGCACGAAACUUGCCCCGAGAUGAGUUCUCCCUGAGACUUAGAGUCUCCUGAAGGAACGUUGAAGACGACGACGUUGAUA
Molecule: ribosomal RNA, 674 nt
Filed under: Salmonella enterica subsp. enterica
Lineage: Bacteria; Pseudomonadati; Pseudomonadota; Gammaproteobacteria; Enterobacterales; Enterobacteriaceae
Description: partial 23S ribosomal RNA
Rfam family: Bacterial large subunit ribosomal RNA
Source: RNAcentral